This 109-nucleotide ribosomal RNA is filed under the name Octodon degus (degu). The record is from RNAcentral. Lineage: Eukaryota; Metazoa; Chordata; Mammalia; Rodentia; Octodontidae.
CCAUCCUGGAUGCGCCUGGUCUCGUCUGCUCUCGGAAGCUAAGCAGGGUCAGGCCUCGUUAGUACUUGGAUGACAGAAAGCUCUUCUGAUAUUUAUUGAGCAUAUUGGU